Molecule: non-coding RNA, 235 nt
Filed under: Candidatus Hodgkinia cicadicola
Lineage: Bacteria; Pseudomonadati; Pseudomonadota; Alphaproteobacteria; Hyphomicrobiales
Source: RNAcentral
AGGAAAGUCUAAUCCCUUGUAAACGAACGCAUAGCGUUGCGAAUACGAUAACGUUAGCGCUUAGGAAAGCGAGUGGGGUGACAGAUCCUGUUUCCCUCGCAACGAGGACGAAAGCGUUUGCCCCUCCGAAGUUUGUUUGGGGAUAAGGUUCAAUAUUAUUGAAUUGUCGCUUGAUUUCAUUCGGAAAAAUUGCCGCGGGGUGGUUGCCUCACUCAACUAAACUUAGCUUACCGCU